Physeter macrocephalus (sperm whale) is the source of this 870-nucleotide long non-coding RNA. RefSeq lists it as uncharacterized. The record is from RefSeq and is a predicted model, not a curated record. NCBI's taxonomy places the organism in Eukaryota, Metazoa, Chordata, Mammalia, Artiodactyla, Physeteridae. The transcript has 3 exons.
GUUAACUAGCUCUUAUCUCUGUGAAAAUACAUACAGAAGGCCAGCCCAAGUGCAGCUAUGAUGGUAGAGUUGAGUAAUUGCCACAGAGACCAUCUAGCUAUCAAAACUUAAUGUGUGGCCCUUUGUCGAAACGCUGCUGACCACUGUGAGAAGAUAUUCUUCCAGUCUCAAGAAUUCCCCGGUGCCCCCGGCCACCUCCACCGGAUAAGAGGGGCAGAAGUCAGCACCGCCCCAAGGUGGUGUCGCCAGGACUCUCAUGGCCGACCCCACUUCUGCUCCAGAUGAGGAAACGAAGGCCCAGCCAGGGGAGCGGCUUGCCUGAGGUCCUCCAGUGCAUCGGUGCCAGACCAGGUCUUAGAGGCCAGGUUUCUGGAAUCUCAGCUUUCUGUCCUCCCCGGCCUAGCAUCUCACAGACUCCAGCUCUUUGCAGUUUGUGCAAGUUACCUUAAUAGUUUCUGACAUGCUGGCAUCUCACCUGCAUUAUUAUUUACUUCACAUUUAAACAGACUUUUUUUUUGUUUUACCUAAAUAAAUACAUUUAUUUUAAAAGAAAACCUCACAUCAUGACCAUAAAUGGGUAAAUGGUAUCAUGUAUCAUAAAUAGAAGGUUAGUGUAGAAAUGAUUACAGAACGAUUGACAUAAAUAAUCUUUGUAGACAGGAAUAAAGAUGCAGAUGUAGAGAAUGGACUUGAGGACACGGGGAGGGGGAAGGGUAAGCUGGGACAAAGUGAGAGAGUGGCAUGGACAUAUAUACACUACCAAAUGUAAAAUAGACAGCUAGUGGGAAGCAGCCGCAUAGCACAGGGAGAUCAGCUCGGUGCUUUGUGACCACCUAGAAGGGUGGGAUAGGGAGGGAGACGCGAGAGGGA